Molecule: ribosomal RNA, 253 nt
Filed under: uncultured bacterium
Lineage: Bacteria
Description: partial 16S ribosomal RNA
Rfam family: Bacterial small subunit ribosomal RNA
Source: RNAcentral
UACGUAGGGGGCGAGCGUUGUCCGGAAUCAUUGGGCGUAAAGCGCGUGUAGGCGGCCCGGUAAGUCCGCUGUGAAAGUCCAGGGCUCAACCCUGGGAUGCCGGUGGAUACUGUCGGGCUAGAGUCCGGAAGAGGCGAGUGGAAUUCCUGGUGUAGCGGUGAAAUGCGCAGAUAUCAGGAGGAACACCUAUUGCGAAGGCAGCUCGCUGGGACGUAACUGACGCUGAGACGCGAAAGCGUGGGGAGCAAACAGG